AACUAAUUAGAGAAAAACCACCAUUAUAAAAGUUGUCAGCCCCUCUCUGUCUUAGAGACAUCAAGUCCUCUUGGGGAAGGUAUGUCAUUGAGGGGGCCUUUUUUGGGGGGUGCCAUACCCGGGGCGUGUGAAAGUUCCCAGGCCAGGGACCAAACUCGAGUCAAAGCUGCAACAUGUACCACAGCUUUAGCAACGCGGAUUCUUAAGCCUCCGCACCCCACAGGAGCUUCCUUGAGGGCCUUUUUACCCCCUUUAACUGUCUAAAUACGAUGCAAGCAGGCACACACACACCCCCCCCCCUUGGGGAAAGGAUACAAGGUAAUCCUCGGUGACUCAGCCAAGUUGGCUCCCAGUACCCCUGCGUAUGAAAACCUACUACGGCAGAUGAAUGCAAAUACGCCCGGCGUCCAACUCCCUCCCAGGAACAAAGACUGAAACCUAGACCCCUUUCUUUUGAGGUUCAAUAUUAUUAGAAUUUCUUUGACAGAGAUACUAAGAUAAGUUCAAAGUAGGAAGGGACAGUAAGAGCCUACAGCAACGCUUAACGAUGAGAAGAGAGAGAGUCUGAAGGGGUGUGCCGAGCUCAACACCACAACCAAAACGAUUACCAAGACGGCUGGCUCUGGAACUGAAAUGUGGCUAAAUCAGCCAACUAGGAAUUGUAGGGGCUCCCUUCUCCAUAAAGGAGCAUAUGUAGAUAUACAGACUAUAUAAGCAUGUAAACUAUACAGACAUACAGACUAGACAGAUACAUAAACUAUACAGAUAUAGAGCCUAGAGAGAAAGUGUAUAAACUACAUAGACUAUAUAGACAUGUAGGUUAUGUGGAUGUGUAAACUACAUAGNGACUAUAUAGACAUGUAGGUUAUGUGGAUAUGUAAAUAUAUAAACUAAGGAGCAUCUCCUGAGAGCUCAAGCACAGGGGAGCCCAGGCCACGUGUGACACAGAAGGAACACUAACACCCGUCACUUUUGCAGAGCCAAGUCCUCACGGCCACAGGAAAUAAGGAAACAAACUACUGUAAGAGGUUCUUUCUAGAAAGCCACACUGUGUCAUCAUCAACAGAAUCCAAAACAUGGAACCUGCGACCGAUCACCCGAUGGGUAAGAUUCUCUAGUCCUCUAUCUGGAUUUAAGUCUGACUCCUUAGACUUCUUGAGUACUUCAGAAAGAGGGAGGAGGAAACAUCCCAAGAGAGACAAAUGGAAUUCCCUAAUAAUUUCACACGCGUUCAAGAGAUUUUAAUCUGCAUAUGGAGAUAUUGGCCUUAUUUGUACUCCGAGCUAAUGACCAUCUGAUGAGCGCUGCCAUAGCCACCGCACUUUAAUUUCUAUGCCGGCCCACCCACAGGGCUCUAAUUAUGUCUUCUGAAGCCACAAAGAAAAACAAGUUGAUGUUUCUCUUCCAAAGAACGGCCUGUCAAGAGGAGGAAAACAAUGAUUACAUUUCAGGGCUUCCCAACCUGGCUCCUGCAACCCCUCUUUAAAGGACUAGAUUUCAAGGCCCCUCUCCAUCCUGCCUCCUCUACAUACCUACGCUCUGGCCUGUCCAUGACGCCCUUACGGUGCCUCGCCCAGAACGGGCUGCAGCCUGCCGCGGGGACUGCUGCGUCUUCUCACCACCUGUACUUCCGUAUGUCCCUACGUGAGCCAGGAGCCAGGCCCUUUUUCAGAUCCGACAUUAUACCCUGCGAGGAGGCUCAUGGUCCAGCCCAGUCUCCAUAGGCUUGGAGCGGCAAGGCCUGCGCCUAAGGCAAGCAGUUCUGCCCGCUCUGGCCCUGGGAUCCUAGGGACGCUGGGAGCUGUGUUAUCCCUUCCCACUGCCGACCUCUGGGCCUCCCGCUCCCCAAGACUCUUUCAGGGCUUAGACUGUGAGCCUGGGUCAUCCUGCUCCUUAACGCACCUGUGCAGCAGGGCCAGGUGGGCAAAGGCAGGACCACAGAGAAGAGACCGAAACCAGGACAGCCCAGAAGUUAAGAAGAUGGGCUGUGGAGUCCAAGCGCCCGGCUUCCAAUUCCGGUUCUACGACUUACUAACCAUGAGACCUUGAGCAAGUCGCUGAACUCCUCUGUACCUCAGUUUCCCGCUCUGUGGAAGGAGGAUAAUGCAGUGGUGCCCACUGACAGACAUGCCGAUGCCCUGACUGCAGGGGAGAGGUCACAGAGCUGUCUACACUUGUCAGGACUCAAACUGCACACUUACAAUGAGGGCAUUUUACUGUGUAUAAAUUCUAUCCCAAUAAAAUCAAUUUGAAAGGUAAAAAAAAAAAAACCAAAAAUUUCAGUAACUACUCUUAGAGGACUGUGAGGAUUAAAAGAAUUUUGAAAUACCUAAAACAGUCCAAGAAAUGUUGACUUGUGAUGGCGUCUCCGAGGCUGCACACAAUCUCUGUGCCCUGUGCUUGCUGCUGCAGAGCAAGGAGGGGGCUGAAAACCCAAAGGAAUCCUCAGCUAGCCGAGAUGCUUCAUUCCAGACCUGGCUCUCACCAGAUAAACACCAGUGUCACAAACCACACCUCGUCCAUGCUCCAGCCAGGGCGGCAUUGGACACGACGAAAGCCAAGCCACAGGAAUCAUCAUCAAAACCAAAGAUAUUGCAGGGAAGCUGGGAGGGCUCUGCUUUCUUUGGUCUUCUGGCUUAGCCUAUGAGGUCUUCCCGGGCCAGCUCGGGGUUUUACUCAGUCUUUCGCCAAGUCUCCCCUGAACGCCUUCGUGGCCCGGCGCAGGCAGGAGGAAGGGGCGACAGGAGGAAAAGAUAGCAAGAGUCCCGGCUCCCUCGCCCUCACCACGUUCACAAUCUAUAGGAAUUGCAGGCAGCAGGAGCAAUGAGCAAUGGUAUCGGGGCAAGAGCAGCAGCCAGCCUCGCCUGGCACUUCCCCCGCCACAGGCCUGCGGCAAACCUCCCUUCCCUCCUCUGUGAAAAGAUGAGAAGAAGCAAUCUCACAGUCGAAAAACAUGUGUAAUAGGACGUGUUUCGAGCUCUGGGCCCUGUGAGAAAUCCCCGGGGAGCCCAGUGAGCUCAUUUAGAAGAACUCAUUGUCUUCGGUCCAGAACGCGACAGGGGAGGGCCUCGCCCUGCAGCUGCCGCUGCGACAAGGAUGGCAGGCCUGGUCUGGAGGGAGGCCUUCCAGCUGCUGUUACAGGGAACGCGUUCAAUUCCACGUUCUCACCUUCCACUGCCCCACGAGGCCAAACCUGCAAAUGAAGGGUCCCGGGUGCCAAGCGAGCUCAUUUCUGGCAUUUCCUCCCUCCUCACUCCCUGUAUCGGGCCCAAGGGCCUCGCCGAGCCUGUGAGGCGCAGGGCGAGGUGCAGCAAAGCAGGCCCAGGCCGCCUCUGGGAGCACCCCCUGUGCUCUGGAAGUCAGCUACCGGG
RNAcentral lists this long non-coding RNA (3371 nucleotides) under Sus scrofa (pig). RNAcentral describes it as "lncRNA (ENSSSCG00015056140.1)". Lineage: Eukaryota; Metazoa; Chordata; Mammalia; Artiodactyla; Suidae. The record is from RNAcentral.